CAUAUAACGACUAUCAAGCACAGCUUGGCCUUAGGCUUUCGUCCCUGCAACGGGGGCGGGCCUUAAAUACUUUGGCGGUGGCGUCGAGCCUCAAGCGUAGUAAAUAUUCCGCUUUUAGAGGUCUCGUGGUCGCUUGCUCCCAGAACCCCAAACUUCUAAGUAUUGACCUCGGAUCAGGUAGGGAUACCCGCUGAACUUAA
Molecule: unclassified non-coding RNA, 200 nt
Filed under: soil metagenome
Description: partial contains internal transcribed spacer 2 and large subunit ribosomal RNA
Source: RNAcentral